Molecule: RNA transcript, 3194 nt
Organism: Manihot esculenta (cassava)
Lineage: Eukaryota; Viridiplantae; Streptophyta; Magnoliopsida; Malpighiales; Euphorbiaceae
Gene name: pentatricopeptide repeat-containing protein At1g04840
Exons: 3
Source: RefSeq, a predicted model, not a curated record
CGGGUAGAGUCUGAUUAAAUUUUAAAUUCGUAAAUAUUUUUUUUGAAAAUUUUUUAUCCUCAACUCUAAAUUGGCAAAAAAACCAAGAAUUUGUAAGCCAUGUUAUGCCAUCUCUCCAUAAAUUGACUCUACCUCCACAACCCAUCUAUUCUUACGCGGCCCCUAGGAUAUGAACUUAAUACUUCGAAGAGUGGACAACAACUUGGUUCUUUCACGCAUUAUAUCAAAGACUAUGAGAGCUGUUCAUGCCCUGGUUAAGGCAACAGCCUCUCCCGCUAAAACAACCGUCGCCACCUCGUCCUCCAGAAAGCUUACCUCCUUCUCCAAUCCACCCUCUCAAAGUCCAUCGGAAAUCCACUUCAUAUCACUUAUUCACUCCUCGAAAACCACUUUCCAACUCCACCAAAUCCACGCACAAAUCCUCCUCCACAAUCUCUCCUCCAGCAGCCUCAUCAGUACCCAGUUGAUCUCUUCGUCAUCUUUACGUAAAUCCGUUGGCUACUCUCUCGCUGUCUUUAACCAUUACCAUCCCAAGAACUCGUUUCUUUUCAAUGCUUUGAUUCGUGGCCUCACGUAUAAUUCCCGUUUUGAGAAUUCCAUCUCCCAUUUUAUUCUCAUGUUGAGGUCGAACUUUAAACCUGACCAGCUCACCUACCCAUAUAUACUUAAGUCUAUUGCUUGUUUGUGUUUACAAUGGCUUGGUAGAUCUCUGCAUGGAAUGAUUUUGAGAUGUGGCUUCGAGUUUGAUUCAUUCGUUAGAAUAGCUAUGGUCGAUAUGUAUGUAAAAGUUGAGGAAUUAGGAUUGGCUCUGAAGCUGUUUGAUGAAAGUCCUCAUAAAUUUAAUACUGAGAGUACAUUGCUGUGGAAUGUUUUGAUUAAUGGGUAUUGUAAGGUUGGGAAUAUGAGUAAGGCUGUGGAGCUCUUUGAGGCCAUGCCAAAGAGGAAUACAGCGUCUUGGAAUUGUUUAAUUAAUGGGUGUUUAAGAGGUGGAGAUUUGGAGAAAGCAAAGGAGCUUUUUGAUCGAAUGCCAGACAAGAAUGUGGUUUCCUGGACUACAAUGGUUAAUGGGUUUUCAAAGAAUGGAGACCAUGAGAAAGCAUUGUCCUUGUUUUCUAAGAUGUUGGAAGAGAGUGUGAAGCCAAAUGAUUUCACCAUUGUUUCAGCUCUCUCUGCAUGUGCAAAGAUUGGUGCCCUUGAAGCAGGACUGAGAAUACAUAGCUAUCUGAAAAAUAAUGGUUUCCGUUUGAAUAGAGUACUCGGAACUGCUUUGGUGGAUAUGUAUGCAAAAUGUGGGAAUAUUGAGUCUGCAAACGAUGUGUUCAGAGAGACAAAAGAUAAGGACAUUCUUACAUGGAGUGUUAUGAUAUGGGGUUGGGCAGUCCAUGGACAUUCUGAGGAAGCAAUUCAGUGUUUCAAACAAAUGAUGCAUGCAGGUAUACAACCGGACGAGGUUGUCUUUCUUGCCAUACUAACUGCAUGCACACAUGCUGGCAAAGUAAAUCUUGGACUUAAUUUCUUCAACAGCAUGAAGUUUGACUACUCUAUCGAGCCCACCAUGAAACAUUAUGCAUUGAUUGUAGAUCUCUUAGGCAGGGCUGGUCUGCUAAAGCAAGCUCUGAGGUUCAUUGAAAGGAUGCCAGUAACUCCAGAUUUUGUGAUAUGGGGAGCACUUUUUUGUGCUUGCAGGGCUCACAAAAAUAUCAAAUUGGCAGAAUUAGCCUCAAAGAAGCUCCUGGAGCUUGAACCUAAGCAUCCUGGGAGCUAUGUCUUCCUAUCAAAUGUUUAUGCUGCUGCAGGCAGAUGGGAAGAUGUAGAGAGAGUGAGAGUUCUGAUGCAGAAUAAAGGCAUAGAGAAAGAUCCAGGAUGGAGUUAUAUAGAGGUGGAGGGUCAAGUUCAUAGUUUUGUAGCUGGUGAUCAUAUUCAUCAGGAUGCGAAAGAUAUCUACUUGAAAUUAGAAGAAAUAGUGGCAGGUGCAAGGGAACAUGGAUACAUGCCUGGAACUGAGUGGGUGCUUCAUAAUAUCGAAGAAGAAGAGAAGGAAGAUGCAUUAGGAAGACAUAGUGAAAAGUUGGCACUUGCUUUUGGCCUUCUUCGUACUUAUCCUGGUAUGACUAUAAGAAUUGUGAAAAAUCUUAGAGUUUGUGGGGAUUGUCAUUCUCUGAUGAAAUAUGCUAGUAAGAUGAGUCAAAGGGAGAUUGUAUUGAGAGAUAUAAAGCGAUUUCAUCAUUUCAAGGGUGGGGUUUGUUCAUGUGGAGAUUACUGGUAGUGCUGUUUGUGAUGCUGAUCUUGUAAAGUAACAUUUCCUGAUAAUUUUUAUACUGUCAUUCUUUUCCUUGAAAUCGCAGCACUAUAAGGUUAUUCUGUUUAGUGGUUAAUGGAUUAUCUUAGUAAAGAAAAAGGGGACAGAAUGGACAUUUAAUCAUCAGAUACUGAUUCUUGGAGAUUGAUAAACGUUCAUAAUCCUGAGGAUGAAUUUUUCAUUUUUGCCGGCAUUAUUGCUAUAGCACUGUUCAUUGGCCCUUGUCGAACAACCAGCGAAUUUCAUUUUAUUUUAGUGAUGAAGAGGAAUUGUUAAAGAUGUCUCAGUACAAGCUAUUUAAAGAGGACCCUUUAGUGAAUCCUAGAAGUGAUUUGCACACAAAGAGAAGACUUCUGAGGCAGCAAAAACAAUCAGUCUGGAGGUUCCAAAGCCACCAAUGGAUGUAGAGGAGCUUGCUGAUGCGAGAACCAGGUGCAACGGCUGUCCCCUGCUAAAUUGAUCUUGAAUUUUCUUCUUCUUCCUUUUUUUUUUUGGGAUAAUUUGAUCAUGAAUAAUUACCACCUUCUGAAAUCUCUCUCUGUCUCUUUUUUCAUAAAUCUGCUCUUGAUGAUGACCUCUAGUUUUCUUUAUUCUCUUUUAUUUGUUCUUUUAUGAAAUGUAAUUCGACUUGCAUUAAACAGGAUAGAGUUGGUUCACCGAAAUUGAGUUCUGGAGCUAUGCAUUUUUGAGAAAAUUGAAGAUUGAGUUCAAAUAAUGUUCAUGUGCUGAAACAUGUAUUCUUUUUCCUUAGGAAAUUACAAAGUUUUUUCAGAGUUGUAAGGUUAAUCUUUUUGGCGAGUUUAUUAGAUUGAUUAGCCAUUUAUGAAUUUGUAUAUUGUUGAAACUUGUAAUUGGAGCAGCACUACUGAGUGUAUGUAAGCUGUGUGUCACAAUA